RNAcentral lists this ribosomal RNA (402 nucleotides) under uncultured bacterium. Its description in RNAcentral is "bacterial SSU rRNA". It matches the Rfam family "Bacterial small subunit ribosomal RNA", at positions 355 to 774 of the family's 1533-position model. The record is from RNAcentral.
UUAGGAAUCUUGGACAAUGGGCGCAAGCCUGAUCCAGCCAUGCCGCGUGAGUGAUGAAGGCCCUAGGGUUGUAAAGCUCUUUCAGCGGGGAAGAUAAUGACGGUACCCGCAGAAGAAGCCCCGGCUAACUUCGUGCCAGCAGCCGCGGUAAUACGAAGGGGGCUAGCGUUGCUCGGAAUCACUGGGCGUAAAGCGCACGUAGGCGGCUUUUUAAGUCAGGGGUGAAAUCCUGGAGCUCAACUCCAGAACUGCCUUUGAUACUGAGAAGCUGGAGUCCGGGAGAGGUGAGUGGAACUGCGAGUGUAGAGGUGAAAUUCGUAGAUAUUCGCAAGAACACCAGUGGCGAAGGCGGCUCACUGGCCCGGUACUGACGCUGAGGUGCGAAAGCGUGGGGAGCAAACA